GUUGUUGGGUAGGGGAGCGUUCUGUAAGCCUGUGAAGGUGUGUCGUGAGGGUUGCUGGAGGUAUCAGAAGUGCGAAUGCUGACAUAAGUAACGAUAAAGCGGGUGAAAAGCCCGCUCGCCGGAAGACCAAGGGUUCCUGUCCAACGUUAAUCGGGGCAGGGUGAGUCGACCCCUAAGGCGAGGCCGAAAGGCGUAGUCGAUGGGAAACGGGUUAAUAUUCCCGUACUUGGUGUUACUGCGAAGGGGGGACGGAGAAGGCUAUGUUGGCCGGGCGACGGUUGUCCCGGUUUAAGCGUGUAGGUGUGUGUUCCAGGUAAAUCCGGUUCACUUUAACACUGAGGCGUGACGACGAGGCACUACGGUGCUGAAGCAACAAAUGCCCUGCUUCCAGGAAAAGCCUCUAAGCAUCAGGUAACAUCAAAUCGUACCCCAAACCGACACAGGUGGUCAGGUAGAGAAUACCAAGGCGCUUGAGAGAACUCGGGUGAAGGAACUAGGCAAAAUGGUGCCGUAACUUCGGGAGAAGGCACGCUGACAUGUAGGUGAAGUGAUUUACUCAUGGAGCUGAAGUCAGUCGAAGAUACCAGCUGGCUGCAACUGUUUAUUAAAAACACAGCACUGUGCAAACACGAAAGUGGACGUAUACGGUGUGACGCCUGCCCGGUGCCGGAAGGUUAAUUGAUGGGGUCAGCGCAAGCGAAGCUCCUGAUCGAAGCCCCGGUAAACGGCGGCCGUAACUAUAACGGUCCUAAGGUAGCGAAAUUCCUUGUCGGGUAAGUUCCGACCUGCACGAAUGGCGUAAUGAUGGCCAGGCUGUCUCCACCCGAGACUCAGUGAAAUUGAACUCGCUGUGAAGAUGCAGUGUACCCGCGGCAAGACGGAAAGACCCCGUGAACCUUUACUAUAGCUUGACACUGAACAUUGAGCCUUGAUGUGUAGGAUAGGUGGGAGGCUUUGAAGUGUGGACGCCAGUCUGCAUGGAGCCGACCUUGAAAUACCACCCUUUAAUGUUUGAUGUUCUAACGUGGACCCGUUAUCCGGGUUGCGGACAGUGUCUGGUGGGUAGUUUGACUGGGGCGGUCUCCUCCUAAAGAGUAACGGAGGAGCACGAAGGUUGGCUAAUCCUGGUCGGACAUCAGGAGGUUAGUGCAAUGGCAUAAGCCAGCUUGACUGCGAGCGUGACGGCGCGAGCAGGUGCGAAAGCAGGUCAUAGUGAUCCGGUGGUUCUGAAUGGAAGGGCCAUCGCUCAACGGAUAAAAGGUACUCCGGGGAUAACAGGCUGAUACCGCCCAAGAGUUCAUAUCGACGGCGGUGUUUGGCACCUCGAUGUCGGCUCAUCACAUCCUGGGGCUGAAGUAGGUCCCAAGGGUAUGGCUGUUCGCCAUUUAAAGUGGUACGCGAGCUGGGUUUAGAACGUCGUGAGACAGUUCGGUCCCUAUCUGCCGUGGGCGCUGGAGAACUGAGGGGGGCUGCUCCUAGUACGAGAGGACCGGAGUGGACGCAUCACUGGUGUUCGGGUUGUCAUGCCAAUGGCACUGCCCGGUAGCUAAAUGCGGAAGAGAUAAGUGCUGAAAGCAUCUAAGCACGAAACUUGCCCCGAGAUGAGUUCUCCCUGAGACUUAGAGUCUCCUGAAGGAACGUUGAAGACGACGACGUUGAUAGGCCGGGUGUGUAAGCGCAGCGAUGCGUUGAGCUAACCGGUACUAAUGAACCGUGAGGCUUAACCUUACAACGCCGAAG
Molecule: ribosomal RNA, 1740 nt
Filed under: Salmonella enterica subsp. enterica serovar Tennessee
Lineage: Bacteria; Pseudomonadati; Pseudomonadota; Gammaproteobacteria; Enterobacterales; Enterobacteriaceae
Description: bacterial LSU rRNA
Rfam family: Bacterial large subunit ribosomal RNA
Source: RNAcentral